RNAcentral lists this long non-coding RNA (9505 nucleotides) under Zea mays. Its description in RNAcentral is "long non-coding RNA (ZMAY_LNC000788)". Lineage: Eukaryota; Viridiplantae; Streptophyta; Magnoliopsida; Poales; Poaceae. The record is from RNAcentral.
UUACUACAUUGAUUCAAAGAAAGAAACUUUGAACGGUUAUAAAUUAUUUAUAGUUUUGAAAUAUAUAUGCUAGCUCAAGUGACCAUCCUCAAUAAGAAGAUAAAGGCGGGGUAUACUUAUAUAAGAAGGCCGAGCCCACCGGCACUUAACACCAUCAACAGCAGCACAAAAACUAUAGCCUGAAAAACAACAGGGAAUAAAACCCUGAGUAUGGAAUUACUCAGCAAGUCUUACCCGACUAAGGAAAAGACUCUCAAGGAUAUGCUGGAUUUGGGAAUCAAGGAGAGGCUUUAGCAAGAAUCAACUUAGAUACUUUUGCAGAAAUAGCUUACUAAAGUGAGUCCUUACUUUCAAUAUUUUAACGCCAGAUUAAAUAUUUAAUAGACUCUGUUUGCAUCUAGUCUAAUUUCAUCAUCUCAUCAAUACAACAUCAUUUUUAUCCAUAGUGUUCACAUCUUGACUUAGGUUGUAGGUCAGAGCUCAAGUCUCCACUCUCCGGGGAUAUAACGGCGAUCCGAAUCGAUUUACUCAGCUGAGGAUCUCUAACCACACGACAUAUGUUUCUCGUAAACCUUGAUGUCUACUAUUCCCACGGAUCCUCCACUGCAUGAACAGGUCCGCGCCACCCGAGAGUACACCACCCCUUUUAGGCGAUCCGUUGCUAGGAGGGUACGUGCCACUCUCGCCAUCUCUCCACGCCCAGUGCGCGAUUGUCUUUUCAUGUAUGGAAUAGCCGGGUUCAAGCUUACCCUGUCCCAUUCUCAGGGCAUGUGGCUAGAUAAGAUAGUCCUUGAUCAACAGGCCUACAUACGCAUCCAAUCCUUAAUUGACCCGGGCGGAGCAUCACCUGUUCCUAGCCCAAGUCUCGAUUUAAGUACUUCCAUCCUUAGGAUUGUUUCUGUUCCUUAGGAUGAAAAGAGCAUCACAGGGAACUUUGCAGUAAGAUCCCACCAUUGCUCCAAAUGAAAAUAUUCUUGCAGGUAGAAGUCAUCCUCUCCCGGGUUAAAUUGAGGACAACCUCUAUCCACAAGAUCUAAGCAAGGCUAAGCAUUUUUGUAAAUCAUAUUUUGAUACUUCACAGAAGUAUCUAUAAAGGUAUGGAUAUCAAGGAAAGCAAUGCAUCAAAGGGUUCCAAGCAACUCCUAUGAACCUAAUGCACAUUUCACUAGACUUAAAGUGUGCGAAAAGUAUUUAAAACACAAGGAAAGGGGUUGCGUGCACCGGGGCUUGCCUGGGUAACACUAGAUUAGUGUUUGUUAGGCGAUGUCCGCUUGACGAGUAUCCCUCGACCGAGUACUUGCUUGAUUUAACCAUCUUCAGGUUGGUCCAUCAGCUUCAUCCUGCGGAUUAGCCCAUGCUUGGGGUCGACUUGGGUCUUCUUCCGCAUCACGCGAUUAAUUAUCGUACCUCAUGAGAUGCACGAUGCAUAUGUAUGAGCACGAGUAUACAUAGUAUGAGAUAGAUAAUCUACGCUAAAAAGGAUGAAACAUUUAAAACCAAGCAUUAAGCAUCAUGGAUAUCAUAGCAGAGCAUCGACUACAUCCAUUAACCAAAUUGACAUAUUACACUAGAUCUAUUUUUAUUCCUAGCUUUUUAUUAACUCUUUAAACUAUGUAUCUUAAUUACUUGAUUUACCGAUUUACCUAAAUCGAUUAUCACAAUAUAGGCAUGCUAAAUUAGUAAAUUACUAACAUUUAUUGUGACCACAAUUCUAUUUAUAGACCUAGUUUAGAUCAUUCAUUAAUCCACUCGCACGAAUAAUAAAUUUGCUUACCCUAUCUAAUUUGACGCGAUAGUCGCAAGCACGACUACGAGUUCUGGCUGACGCCGUUGAUCAUACACGUUCGGCGAGCGAGGCACACAGUUUCCAUUCUUGACCGAAUAUCCGUGGGAUUCUUUUUUUUGUCGAGCUGGUGACGUGUGGCCAAUACUAGAGCGUCUUCACGGCUUGGGGACUUGGCGUAGACGAGGAUGACGAUCGACGACCUCGACGUGUCAGCGCGACGAUUUCCAUAUGGCGAAGAAGACGGAGUAGCCACUCCUGAAUUAGGCUUUAUGGUCGAGCGUCUGACGAGUGUCGCACGAGCCUUGCUGUUCCACCAUUGGAUCUGACUGAAAACUGACCGACUUCCCAUCUCCUCGCCACCCGACGUCAUGACGGAUUCAUAGCGCAGGAUCGCACCCGAUUCUGCAACUCACGCGUCAGCUUGCGCGUGUGCUGUCAACAGGCUUGGGACCUCCGUCGAGCACACGAUGCACGAAGCGCGACAUCAACAAUAAGCGGUUUUUGUGACAUCACGCAGGGAAACUCUGAGCUGUGGCCAGCGCGUAGAAAGCAAAGCGCGGGCAUGGAUUGGGCGCAGGAAGAACAGAGACCGAACUCAGCGAGCUGCGCGCAGACACGCGACGACCAUGGCAAGGGAGCAGAGAAAAUUGUGCGGACGGCUGGAACAGAGACGGCGAGCACGCGCGCACAAAAAGCAGGGCGCGCAGAGGACAGGGAACUGCGACGACGAAACGCCAUAGCUGGAGCAAGAGCGGGACGCGAACUAGGCGACGGCAGCGCGCAAGGACGAUCUUGGCUAGGGGAAAAACUCCGCGCGCAGGGAUCCGAGCUGAAAGGAGCCGAGGAAGAUGGACGCCAUGGGAAGAGGAAGAAGCAGCUGGGCACACUGCGGCUUGGAACCGAUCUUAGAAACGGCGACUGGCACGGACGGGAGGAGUUCGCGGACAAGGAAGUUCCAGCAGGCAGAGAGGCACCGCGGCCACCAUGGGGAACGAGCCAGAGCUGCGCGCGCGCGCAAGAAAAUCGCUCGGCAGAAAGGACGGACAGGGAGCUCCAAGCACCGAACUGCAGCCGGAACCAGAGGCACUGCGAGCAGGUAGACCUGGGAGGGACCUCGCUGGCUGAACGAGCUGGAAGAGAGAAGCAAGGGGAGGGCGCAGGGAAAGAAGAAGCGCUCGGCGCAGGGAGCUGGGCGCCAGAGCAGGAGGCUUCAGGGUGCGGCGCAGGGACACGCGCGGUCAAGCGAACUUGAGUUGGAGCCAGGGAGCAGGAAAUCAGGGCGACGGCGCGUGCACAGAGAAGCGACCGCGCCAUGGGCGUUCGCGGGCGGACGAACUAAGAAGCUUGAGGGAGCUAGGCGAGCUGCACGGGAGGAGCACGCAGGGAGGUACGCCGGCGAGGGAGCAGGAGAGAGAAGGGAGUGGCUGCGCGCGGCGAGGAAGCUCUAGAGAACUGCCAUGGGAGCUCAGCAGAGAGGAAACACAGGGGAUGGGAGAUGCGCUGGCAUGGGAGGAAACUGGGGGUCGCGGCAUGGGUGAUCUGGAACAAGCGAGCAGAGGGGCGUGGUCCGAGCGCCGGGCGCCGGGCGGAGUCGAGGGCGUGACCCAGGGCGAGCGCCGGCUGGAAGAAGAGCAGCGCGCACUGGAAAUAACGACGGCCGGGCGGUGGGAUUUUUCUUCACACGUUGAGCGGCACGGCCAGGAAGAUCAGCGAUCGGCGGUGGGAGAUAAGCUCCAUGGCUGAAUCCAGAGCACGCUGGAGAUUCACGGCUGAAGAUUGAAGCCUACGGGAGAGAGACGCGUGGCUGGCGAUGGGGAUAGAGAUCGAGCAGAGAAGAUGCCGACCACCCAAGCCGGCGUUAAUAAAUUGCCCAUUGCAGAUAAGAACAUGGAGAGAGACUGAGAGAGAGGAUAAGGAGAGGGAGGAGAGAUGUACGUAGGAGAUAUUUGCACAAGAGCUGGACGUUUAAGCGGUGGAAUGAAAUCAGCUAGGAAAAAUUGGAAUUUCCUUUCAUCUACUUAAAAAUAAUCAAAAUGUAGAUAUUUGGUUGGCUCAAACAUUAAGGUCUAAAAGAUGUAUAAAUGAGUUGAGCCAAAACAAGAUCCACAAAAAUAUUUAGACAGGAUUUAAUGAAUACUUCGGAGUCAGAUUAAUUCGUAUCCAUUAUUUCUAUUUGAAGAAAAUUAGAUCGAGACAAGAAACGCACGGACCGGAUCAAAUUGAUUUCGGCUUCGACAAAUUUAGACUGUGCUUGAUUUAAUUUAGGACAGAUAAUUUACUAGACGAAUAAAUUUCAAUUAUAAAUCCUCGGAUGAGCUGUCUCGGUUGACGAGUGGGAACAAAAUUAUUUGCACCGAAAACCUUAGUCGUCGAGUUUGAAUUAAUUUGCCCGGGAUAAAAAUCAUCCGAGUGAGUCGAGCUUCCGAAUUCGUGUUCGCGAGCGAUGAAUUUUAAAUAAUCACCGGACGCACCGAUUUUCAGAACAAAUAUGUUCCGAACAGCAAGAAAAUUCAGGAAGAGCCCGGACAAAUAAAAAUAAUAACGAUGUCGCACUCGCGACAAACGAAGCAGAUGCGAUAUUAAAAUCGUGAUAGGCAAAAAUAAUUAGACCUUAGUGUCCAUCUUAUUUACUGAUAUCACGUGCUUAAAUCCGUACUCGCUGUCGAGCGGACGAUAAACACCAGGGUGUUACAGUCCUCCCCCCUUAAAAGAAUCUCGUCCCGAGAUUCGGAGCGAAAGACUUCUAAGGGUAGAGAAGUAUGUAACCCUUGUUCAUAUCAGCGAUAAUUAUAAGGCAGUUCCAAGCAAGGACGAGUGUCUCAGAAUGUUGUUUCUCUAAUGGACAUAUCAUGUAUCGCCUUAAGCCAAUUUAGAAAUGUCCACCAAUGGAGACGCUGUCUGCCAGAAGAACACAUAAGGUUCCAUGUGUGCAGUUUGCUUUUUUUUUAUGACACUGUACUAUCUGAGUCUGUUGAGCGAGCGGCAAAUACACGAUUUUACCCAAACAGAAUCAGAUACACCAUCUUGGGUAAAACACACAGAAAGAGGUUUACCAACAAGUGGUUACAGUAAACUCAUAGCACACGUGACGGCUGUGAAUGUCGAAUAACAUCACAGUUAACUCGUGUUAGCCAAAGAAUCCAAGUCCCUGAAAGGUGAUAUAGAUUCGAGAACAUCACCAGCAAAGGGGUCUGUAGAUACGGACUUUACAACUAGUCCAUUUUAUCAAGCACUAGGCAUGACUCGACCUGGUCAUACAUGCUAGAAAAGCACACGUGAGGCGAUCGAGACACGACUAGAGCGAUGGCUAGGUGGUUAUUGGUCGCCUUAAUCUUGAUUUUUAUAAGUACUUCCUCAGUAUGGGUUGAACCAAAAUGAGUUCAGGCAAAUCGAUAAAACGAUCUCUAAACUCAAUCUUUGUUCAUUGAGCAGUUACAAGUUAGUAAAACCAACUUGUUGAACUACUUUUGACAUUGAGCAAGUCCUCUCAGUACCAUCGGUAAGCCAACGGUCGAGAGCUCACUCAUACUAACAGUUGAUCAUGCACUUGGGCAGAAAUCUAUUUGGUCAUGUUGUUCAUCCGUUUCUUCAUGUGAGAUGAAUUAUCCGCUUGGUUAGGGAAUACUUGGAUUAAAUAAGAGAGCGAAUGAACAAACUCCUGCAUCACAACAGCAGGGAAAAUCAAUCUUCAUUUUGAGAGCUAAUCAGUUGUCUCUCGACAUUAAAAAGCUCCAAGGCUCCACCUUUACACAAAGGAUGUAAAGGGAACUUGUAUGAGUAGUCACUACCAAGAUCAAAAGAAAUAAGACCACACAUGAAAGUGGUAUGCCCUUUUGAUCCAACAGAGAUGACAGAUGUUGCUUGAUCUCUUCACAAACAACAUAGAAAUUGUUUCAAGGAAGAAGCCUACGGAAGAUAACAUAUUGAUAUAAUCUCAUAAUGGAUUACGACUAUUAACUGUGAUACCAACGCGUGCCGAGUAGCACAACCAUGUGUGAGCACCCACCGAAGGCCCUCGGUUUCAGCGUGGUAUCACCGAUUUUAGUCAUAACACCAUUACCAGACAUAACCAAUAAGAAAUCUCACGUGACACCAAUAGAUUGGUCAAGGAUGACAAGGUACAAAAGAGACUCCACCUGUAGAAUGAUUACAAGUAGAGAUCCAAAUAGAUCAUGGCCCAAGGAAGUGAACAAGGCAUGGCCAUAACCUAAACUUGAUGAGAGAAGUACGAUGGGAGAUUGUUAAUUCAGCCCCAAGCAUAUUUCUAUGCCCAUCGCAGAGAUCACAAGGUCAAGGAUCAGUAUCUGACUAGAUACAGGGGAAAACAAUCAUAAGAUUAAGUUGGUAUGCCUUCGAUAGAUAUGGGAAACCAAAGGCAUCAAAUUCUAGAAAAAUGGUUGGACAUGUCUUUCCUAGGUUGGGUUGACAAAGCAACAUGGCGAUCCGCAAGGAGAGGCCAAAUAUAAUGGAGACCUCAACCUGCAUCAACUGAACAAGGGAAUGGUUCUAGAAGGAGACAUGACUUGAGAUUUUUUUUAAGCUUGGGUACACUUUAUGUCCAACAAAGAAAUUAUCAAGCAUUUAUUUGUAUGGGCUUGGUCACAGAGUGAUAAUGGUAAAUUCAAAUUUGGGUCUCGGUUCACCAACUAAGAACAUGGCCUAAUUUUGGGUUUAAGCAACCAAACUACUAACCCUCUAUCGGCACAUCAACAAAAGAGCACACAUAGAGCACUCUAAGAGGUCACCUAAAGAAUGGAGGACACCUAUUUCAUCGAAGUUCAUAAUUUAGCAUUACACCAUAUUAUCUACAAUCAAUGGUUACUGGAAUAAAGACGAGAGAAGCAUUUUGGGUGUAUAGGUGACAAACAUAAUGCAACAAUCAAGAUGCAUGCUCGUCUUAUCCGUCCUCACUGAGUUUUUGCCAACAUAAUGUGGCAAUAGCGUUCUAUAUCGGUGGCAUAUGUACGAUUCUCACGGUAUUUUGCUAGUCGUCAACUACACAUACGUUUUCGAGGUUAGUGUACCUGCAGAAAAAUCCAUCACAACCCAAUUCCCAAUGAUGCAGUUCACACAUGACAGUUUAUCAUAGUUUAUACUCCAUAUAUUGCUAUAUGGAGGCCAGCUCAUCAUUAAGCGCCGAGCCACGCAUAGGCGCCAUUGCCACACUUUAACCAUAGGGCAACCCAUUAUGGUAACUCACCUUCUUACCUGAACGUAGGUGCGUCGUUACAAGUACAUUACACUUCUCAGUAUUCCCAUGUCUGUAUACCCAUACACAUCCAUGGGGUACCGAAUUCCCAGAAAAGUAAUUACUCCACCUCGCAACCUUCAUAUAUACAUAUAUAAAACAUGUAUAUAAUCAAGCGCUACAAUUAAGCACUUCCCUAGACCGACGUUUGUUCGGUCUUGCUCUCACAUCUCACCUUACCUUGGGCGUCGAUCCAUUCAAAACUGAAUGGCCUUAAAAAUAACAAUACACAUGUAUGCAAUACCCACCCGGUUGUGGGUUAGUGGUUUUCAAAUAAGCCACCUGAUAGUCCUUAGUUUUAGGGCUUAAAAGAGGAUGUCGCUAGCAUUAUAGUUUUUUUUAAAACUGUUUUUCAAAGCCAAACAAUGUGUUUAACUAAAAAUAGGUUUUUCGAAACCAAAACUUUUGUUUUGAAAAUACGUAUGUGACCGUAUAUACUUAAUCCAGCUCCGAUACCAGCUGUGGCAGAACCUCCCAAGUUAUUGGGCCCACAUGCACCUGUCCUUGUCUCAAAGACCUCAGACAGCUAUGCAUGUGCACCAGAUAACUUAACAGGAUCCGUCCGAUUGCCCCACGGACACCGGAUAAACCACUUACAACCAGAACCGCGGGAUUAAGUAAUACAAAUCACACACAUCAAUAUUUUGCAGCGGAAAUCUUAUUACCAAAUUUUACAAGUUACAAAAAUUUUACUUCGUACAUGAUCAGAGUGAUUACUACAUUGAUUCAAAGAAAGAAACUUUGAACGGUUAUAAAUUAUUUAUAGUUUUGAAAUAUAUAUGCUAGCUCAAGUGACCAUCCUCAAUAAGAAGAUAAAGGCGGGGUAUACUUAUAUAAGAAGGCCGAGCCCACCGGCACUUAACACCAUCAACAGCAGCACAAAAACUAUAACCUAAAAAACAACAGGGAAUAAAACCCUGAGUAUGGAAUUACUCAGCAAGUCUUACCCGACUAAGGAAAAGACUCUCAAGGAUAUGCUGGAUUUGGGAAUCAAGGAGAGGCUUUAGCAAGAAUCAACUUAGAUACUUUUGCAGAAAUAGCUUACUAAAGUGAGUCCUUACUUUCAAUAUUUUAACGCCAGAUUAAAUAUUUAAUAGACUCUGUUUGCAUCUAGUCUAAUUUCAUCAUCUCAUCAAUACAACAUCAUUUUUAUCCAUAGUGUUCACAUCUUGACUUAGGUUGUAGGUCAGAGCUCAAGUCUCCACUCUCCGGGGAUAUAACGGCGAUCCGAAUCGAUUUACUCAGCUGAGGAUCUCUAACCACACGACAUAUGUUUCUCGUAAACCUUGAUGUCUACUAUUCCCACGGAUCCUCCACUGCAUGAACAGGUCCGCGCCACCCGAGAGUACACCACCCCUUUUAGGCGAUCCGUUGCCAGGAGGGUACGUGCCACUCUCGCCAUCUCUCCACGCCCAGUGCGCGAUUGUCUUUUCAUGUAUGGAAUAGCCGGGUUCAAGCUUACCAUGUCCCAUUCUCAGGGCAUGUGGCUAGAUAAGAUAGUCCUUGAUCAACAGGCCUACAUACGCAUCCAAUCCUUAAUUGUCCCGGGCGGAGCAUCACCUGUUCCUAGCCCAAGUCUCGAUUUAAGUACUUCCAUCCUUAGGAUUGUUUCUGUUCCUUAGGAUGAAAAGAGCAUCACAGGGAACUUUGCAGUAAGAUCCCACCAUUGCUCCAAAUGAAAAUAUUCUUGCAGGUAGAAGUCAUCCUCUCCCGGGUUAAAUUGAGGACAACCUCUAUCCACAAGAUCUAAGCAAGGCUAAGCAUUUUUGUAAAUCAUAUUUUGAUACUUCACAGAAGUAUCUAUAAAGGUAUGGAUAUCAAGGAAAGCAAUGCAUCAAAGGGUUCCAAGCAACUCCUAUGAACCUAAUGCACAUUUCACUAGACUUAAAGUGUGCGAAAAGUAUUUAAAACACAAGGAAAGAGGUUGCGUGCACCGGGGCUUGCCUGGGUAACACUAGAUUAGUGUUUGUUAGGCGAUGUCCGCUUGACGAGUAUCCCUCGACCGAGUACUUGCUUGAUUUAACCAUCUUCAGGUUGGUCCAUCAGCUUCAUCCUGCGGAUUAGCCCAUGCUUGGGGUCGACUUGGGUCUUCUUCCGCAUCACGCGAUUAAUUAUCGUACCUCAUGAGAUGCACGAUGCAUAUGUAUGAGCACGAGUAUACAUAGUAUGAGAUAGAUAAUCUACGCUAAAAAGGAUGAAAUAUUUAAAACCAAGCAUUAAGCAUCAUGGAUAUCAUAGCAGAGCAUCGACUACAUCCAUUAACCAAAUUGACAUAUUACACUAGAUCUAUUUUUAUUCCUAGCUUUUUAUUAACUCUUUAAACUAUGUAUCUUAAUUACUUGAUUUACCGAUUUACCUAAAUCGAUUAUCACAAUAUAGGCAUGCUAAAUUAGUAAAUUACUAACAUUUAUUGUGACCACAAUUCUAUUUAUAGACCUAGUUUAGAUCAUUCAUUAAUCCACUCGCACGAA